UGAGGAAUAUUGGUCAAUGGGCGGGAGCCUGAACCAGCCAAGCCGCGUGAGGGAAGAAGGCCCUAUGGGUCGUAAACCUCUUUUGUCAGGGAACAAAAGCCGAUAUGUAUAUUGGUGUGAGUGUACCUGAAGAAAAAGCAUCGGCUAACUCCGUGCCAGCAGCCGCGGUAAUACGGAGGAUGCGAGCGUUAUCCGGAUUUAUUGGGUUUAAAGGGAGCGUAGGCCGUCUUAUAAGCGUGUUGUGAAAUGUCGGGGCUCAACCUGGGCAUUGCAGCGCGAACUGUGAGACUUGAGUGCGCAGGAAGUAGGCGGAAUUCGUCGUGUAGCGGUGAAAUGCUUAGAUAUGACGAAGAACUCCGAUUGCGAAGGCAGCCUGCUGUAGCGCAACUGACGCUGAAGCUCGAAAGCGUGGGUAUCGAACAGGAUUAGAUACCCUGGUAGU
Molecule: ribosomal RNA, 442 nt
Filed under: uncultured Prevotella sp.
Lineage: Bacteria; Pseudomonadati; Bacteroidota; Bacteroidia; Bacteroidales; Prevotellaceae
Description: bacterial SSU rRNA
Rfam family: Bacterial small subunit ribosomal RNA
Source: RNAcentral